UACGUAGGGUGCGAGCGUUAAUCGGAAUUACUGGGCGUAAAGUGUGCGCAGGCGGCUUCGCAAGUCGAGUGUGAAAUCCCCGAGCUUAACUUGGGAAUUGCGCUCGAAACUACGGAGCUGGAGUGUGGCAGAGGAAGGUGGAAUUCCACGUGUAGCGGUGAAAUGCGUAGAGAUGCGGAGGAACACCGAUGGCGAAGGCAGCCCCCUGGGCUAACACUGACGCUCAGGCACGAAAGCGUGGGGAGCAAACAGG
RNAcentral lists this ribosomal RNA (253 nucleotides) under uncultured bacterium. Its description in RNAcentral is "partial 16S ribosomal RNA". It matches the Rfam family "Bacterial small subunit ribosomal RNA", at positions 524 to 776 of the family's 1533-position model. The record is from RNAcentral.